GACGAACGCUGGCGGCGUGCUUAACACAUGCAAGUCGAACGGAAAGGCCCCUUCGGGGGUACUCGAGUGGCGAACGGGUGAGUAACACGUGAGUAACCUGCCCUUGACUUCGGGAUAACUUCAGGAAACUGGGGCUAAUACCGGAUAGGAAUCCUUGCUGCAUGGUGGGGGUUGGAAAGCUUCGGCGGUUUUGGAUGGACUCGCGGCUUAUCAGCUUGUUGGUGGGGUAGUGGCUUACCAAGGCUUUGACGGGUAGCCGGCCUGAGAGGGCGACCGGCCACAUUGGGACUGAGAUACGGCCCAGACUCCUACGGGAGGCAGCAGUGGGGAAUAUUGCACAAUGGGCGGUAGCCUGAUGCAGCAACGCCGCGUGCGGGAGGACGGCCUUCGGGUUGUAAACCGCUUUCAGCAGGGGCGAAGCUUGUGGUGACGGUACCUGCAGAAGAAGCACCGGCUAACUACGUG
RNAcentral lists this ribosomal RNA (465 nucleotides) under uncultured bacterium. RNAcentral describes it as "partial 16S ribosomal RNA". It matches the Rfam family "Bacterial small subunit ribosomal RNA", at positions 28 to 507 of the family's 1533-position model. The record is from RNAcentral.